RNAcentral lists this ribosomal RNA (407 nucleotides) under uncultured bacterium. Its description in RNAcentral is "partial 16S ribosomal RNA". It matches the Rfam family "Bacterial small subunit ribosomal RNA", at positions 28 to 526 of the family's 1533-position model. The record is from RNAcentral.
GACGAACGCUGGCGGCGUGCCUAAUACAUGCAAGUAGGACGCAGUUGCGAACGGGUGAGUAACGCGUAGGUAACUACCUAUUAGAGGGGGAUAACUAUUGGAAACGAUAGCUAAUACCGCAUACUUUUAGAUGGCCCUGCGUUUGAUUAGUUAGUAGGUAGGGAAAUGGGCUAACUAGGAAACGAUACAUAGCCGAGCUGAGAGGGUGAUCGGCCACACGGGGUAUGAGACACGGCCCAGAAUCCUACGGGAGGCAGCAGUAGGGAAUCUUCGGAAAUGGGGGGAACCCUGACCGAGCAACGCCGCGUGAGUGAAGAAGGUUUUCGGAGCGUAAAGCUCUGUUGUUAAGGAAGCGGUACUUAACCAGAAAGGGACGGCUAACUACGUGCCAGCAGCCGCGGUAAUAC